This 30-nucleotide non-coding RNA is filed under the name Rattus norvegicus (Norway rat). Lineage: Eukaryota; Metazoa; Chordata; Mammalia; Rodentia; Muridae. The record is from RNAcentral.
UAUAAAGUGAUUUGCCAAUGGGUUGCUAAU